Molecule: ribosomal RNA, 429 nt
Filed under: Actinomycetes bacterium
Lineage: Bacteria; Bacillati; Actinomycetota; Actinomycetes
Description: Actinobacteria bacterium partial 16S ribosomal RNA
Rfam family: Bacterial small subunit ribosomal RNA
Source: RNAcentral
UAGGGAAUCUUCCGCAAUGGGCGAAAGCCUGACGGAGCAACGCCGCGUGAGUGAUGAAGGUCUUCGGAUCGUAAAACUCUGUUAUUAGGGAAGAACAAAUGUGUAAGUAACUAUGCACGUCUUGACGGUACCUAAUCAGAAAGCCACGGCUAACUACGUGCCAGCAGCCGCGGUAAUACGUAGGUGGCAAGCGUUAUCCGGAAUUAUUGGGCGUAAGGCGCGCGUAGGCGGUUUUUUAAGUCUGAUGUGAAAGCCCACGGCUCAACCGUGGAGGGUCAUUGGAAACUGGAAAACUUGAGUGCAGAAGAGGAAAGUGGAAUUCCAUGUGUAGCGGUGAAAUGCGCAGAGAUAUGGAGGAACACCAGUGGCGAAGGCGACUUUCUGGUCUGUAACUGACGCUGAUGUGCGAAAGCGUGGGGAUCAAACAGG